UGAACGCUAGCGGCAGGCUUAACACAUGCAAGUCGAGGGGCAGCAUACCCAGCAAUGGGUGAUGGCGACCGGCGGAAGGGUGCGUAACGCGUGAGCAACAUACCCUAUACAGGGGGAUAAGCCAGGGAAACUUGGUCUAAUAUCCCAUAGGAAAUAGAUAAGGCAUCUUGUUUAUUUUAAAGCUUCGGUGGUAUAGGAUUGGCUCGCGUGACAUUAGCUAGAUGGAGGGGUAACGGCCCACCAUGGCAAUGAUGUCUAGGGGUUCUGAGAGGAAGAUCCCCCACACUGGGACUGAGACACGGCCCAGACUCCUACGGGAGGCAGCAGUGAGGAAUAUUGGACAAUGGAUGGAAAUCUGAUCCAGCCAUGCCGCGUGCAGGAAGAACCGGCCCUAUGGGUUGUAAACUGCUUUUAUACGGGAGCAAUAAGGUCUAUGCAUAGAUUGAUGAGAGUACCGUAUGAAUAAGCAUCGGCUAACUCCGUGCCAGCAGCGGC
Molecule: ribosomal RNA, 495 nt
Filed under: uncultured bacterium
Lineage: Bacteria
Description: bacterial SSU rRNA
Rfam family: Bacterial small subunit ribosomal RNA
Source: RNAcentral